This 245-nucleotide ribosomal RNA is filed under the name uncultured bacterium. RNAcentral's name for it is "partial 16S ribosomal RNA". It matches the Rfam family "Bacterial small subunit ribosomal RNA", at positions 15 to 245 of the family's 1533-position model. The record is from RNAcentral.
GAUCCUGGCUCAGGACGAACGCUGGCGGCGUGCUUAACACAUGCAAGUCGAACGUGAUUUUUGUGGAAAUUCUUUCGGGAAUGGAAAUGAAAUGAAAGUGGCGAACGGGUGAGUAACACGUGAGCAACCUACCUUACACAGGGGGAUAGCCGUUGGAAACGACGAUUAAUACCGCAUGAGACCACAGAAUCGCAUGAUAUAGGGGUCAAAGAUUUACGUGUAGAAGGACGUCGCGUCGUGAUAGU